Molecule: ribosomal RNA, 253 nt
Filed under: uncultured bacterium
Lineage: Bacteria
Description: partial 16S ribosomal RNA
Rfam family: Bacterial small subunit ribosomal RNA
Source: RNAcentral
UACGUAGGUGGCAAGCGUUGUCCGGAAUUACUGGGUGUAAAGCGCGUGUAGGCGGCAGACCAAGUCGGCGGUGGAAGCGCCCGGCUCAACUGGGCGAGGUCCGUGGAAACUGGUCAGCUGGAGGACGGUAGAGGCGAGUGGAAUUCCCGGUGUAGUGGUGAAAUGCGUAGAGAUCGGGAGGAACACCUGUGGCGAAGGCGGCUCGCUGGGCCGGUCCUGACGCUGAGACGCGAAGGCGUGGGGAGCGAACGGG